RNAcentral lists this ribosomal RNA (497 nucleotides) under uncultured bacterium. RNAcentral's name for it is "partial 16S ribosomal RNA". It matches the Rfam family "Bacterial small subunit ribosomal RNA", at positions 28 to 507 of the family's 1533-position model. The record is from RNAcentral.
GAUGAACGCUGGCGGCGUGCCUAAUACAUGCGAGUCGAGCGAACAGAUAAGGAGCUUGCUCCUUUGACGUUAGCGGCGGACGGGUGAGUAACACGUGGGUAACCUACCUAUAAGACUGGAAUAACUCCGGGAAACCGGGGCUAAUGCCGGAUAACAUUUAGAACCGCAUGGUUCUAAAGUGAAAGAUGGUUUUGCUAUCACUUAUAGAUGGACCCGCGCCGUAUUAGCUAGUUGGUAAGGUAACGGCUUACCAAGGCAACGAUACGUAGCCGACCUGAGAGGGUGAUCGGCCACACUGGAACUGAGACACGGUCCAGACUCCUACGGGAGGCAGCAGUAGGCAAUCUUCCGCAGUGGGCGAAAGCCUGACGGAGCAACGCCGCGUGAGUGAUGAAGGUCUUCGGAUCGUAAAACUCUGUUAUUAGGGAAGAACAAAUGUGUAAGUAACUGUGCACGUCUUGACGGUACCUAAUCAGAAAGCCACGGCUAACUACGUG